RNAcentral lists this ribosomal RNA (488 nucleotides) under uncultured bacterium. RNAcentral's name for it is "partial 16S ribosomal RNA". It matches the Rfam family "Bacterial small subunit ribosomal RNA", at positions 28 to 523 of the family's 1533-position model. The record is from RNAcentral.
GACGAACGCUGGCGGCGUGCUUAACACAUGAAGUCGAGCGGAAAGGCCCUUUCGGGGGUACUCGAGCGGCGAACGGGUGAGUAACACGUGAGUAAUCUGCCCUUGGCUUUGGGAUAACCACCGGAAACGGUGGCUAAUACCGGAUAUGACGCGCCCCGGCAUCGGGGUGUGUGGAAAGUUUUUUCGGCCAGGGAUGUGCUCGCGGCCUAUCAGCUUGUUGGUGGGGUGAUGGCCUACCAAGGCUUCGACGGGUAGCCGGCCUGAGAGGGUGACCGGCCACGCUGGGACUGAGACACGGCCCAGACUCCUACGGGAGGCAGCAGUGGGGAAUAUUGGACAAGGGGCGGAAGCCUGAUCCAGCAACGCCGCGUGAGGGAUGACGGCCUUCGGGUUGUAAACCUCUUUCAGUACCGACGAAGCGCCGAUGAUGGUGGUGACGGUAGGUACAGAAGAAGCACCGGCCAGCUACGUGCCAGCAGCCGCCGUAA